CAAACGGCUCUUUUCAGAGCCACCUACAGAUCCCAUUCAAAAGAG
Molecule: non-coding RNA, 45 nt
Organism: Rattus norvegicus (Norway rat)
Lineage: Eukaryota; Metazoa; Chordata; Mammalia; Rodentia; Muridae
Source: Rfam